This 378-nucleotide ribosomal RNA is filed under the name Myrmecophilus sp. MCJ-2002. RNAcentral's name for it is "partial 16S ribosomal RNA". It matches the Rfam family "Archaeal large subunit ribosomal RNA", at positions 2020 to 2603 of the family's 2987-position model. The record is from RNAcentral. Lineage: Eukaryota; Metazoa; Arthropoda; Insecta; Orthoptera; Myrmecophilidae.
UGACUGUGCAAAGGUAGCAUAAUAAUUAGGUUUUUAAUUGGGAUCUUGUAUGAAUGGUUUAACGAAAUACUUACUGUCUCUAUUUGAUAGGUUUAAUUUAACUUUUUAGUUAAAAGGCUAGGAUUAUGAUGGGGGACGAGAAGACCCUAUAGAGCUUAACCAUAUUUUAUGUAACAUUUAUUUAGGUUUUGAAAUUUGUUGAAUAAUAUUUGGUUUCGCUGGGGCGGUGAAGGGAUAUAUUUAACUCCCAUUUUGUGAAUAGAAAUUACUAGUUAAUUGAAUUAAUAAUAUUAAUUUAAGAUUAAGUUACCUUAGGGAUAACAGCGUAAUUUAUUUGGAGAGUUCAUAUUGAUAAAUAAGUUUGCGACCUCGAUGUUG